Molecule: ribosomal RNA, 406 nt
Filed under: uncultured bacterium
Lineage: Bacteria
Description: partial 16S ribosomal RNA
Rfam family: Bacterial small subunit ribosomal RNA
Source: RNAcentral
AUUGAACGCUGGCGGCAGGCCUAACACAUGCAAGUCGAGCGAGCGGCGGACGGGUGAGUAAUGUCUGGGAAACUGCCUGAUGGAGGGGGAUAACUACUGGAAACGGUAGCUAAUACCGCAUACCAUCAGAUGUACCCAGAUGGGAUUAGCUAGUAGGUGGGGUAAUGGCUCACCUAGGCGACGAUCCCUAUCUGGUCUGCGAGGAUGACCAGCCACACUAGAACUGAGACCCGGUCCCGCCUCCUACGGUAGGCAGCAGUGGGGAAUAUUGCACAAUGGGCUCAAGCCUGAUGCAGCCAUGCCGCGUGUGUGAAGGAGGCCUUCGGGUUGUAAAGCACUUUCAUCGAGGAGGCGUUACUCGCAGAAGAAGCACCGGCUAACUCCGUGCCAGCAGCCGCGGUAAUAC